GCAGUCGAACGCGAACGGGGCUUCGGCCCCUAGUAGAGUGGCGAAAGGGCGAGGAAUACAUUCCUACGUACCCCAAGGUCGGGGACAAUCAGGGGAAACUCUGACUAAUACCCGAUGUGGUCCUUCGGGAUCAAAGGUUUACUGCCUUGGGAGCGGGGAAUGUCCUAUCAGGUAGUUGGUGAGGUAAUGGCUCACCAAGCCGAAGACGGGUAGCGGGUGUGAGAGCACGGCCCGCCGCAUCGGGACUGAGACACUGCCCGGACUCCUACGGGAGGCUGCAGUAACGAAUCUUCCGCAAUGCGCGAAAGCGUGACGGGGCAAUGCCGCGUGCAGGAUGAAUCCCCUCGGGGUGUAAACUGCUGUCAGGGUUUAGGAAAAAAAUGACCAGACCCAAAGGAAGCACCGGCUAACUCUGUGCCAGCAGCCGCGGUAAUACAGAGGGUGCGAGCGUUAAUCGGAAUCACUGGGCUUAAAGCGUGCGUAGGCGGGUGUGCAGGCAUGUUGUGAAAUCCCAUGGCUCAACCAUGGAAUAGCUUCGUGAACCGCACAUCUUGAGGCAGGUAGGGGCGGUCGGAACGAUAGGUGGAGCGGUGAAAUGCGUAGAUAUCUAUCGGAACGCCAAAGGAGAAGUCAGGCCGCUGGGCCUGUCCUGACGCUGAGGCACGAAAGCGUGGGGAGCAAACGGGAUUAGAUACCCUGGUAGUCCCCU
This 709-nucleotide ribosomal RNA is filed under the name uncultured bacterium. Its description in RNAcentral is "bacterial SSU rRNA". It matches the Rfam family "Bacterial small subunit ribosomal RNA", at positions 57 to 799 of the family's 1533-position model. The record is from RNAcentral.